Ostrinia nubilalis (European corn borer) is the source of this 554-nucleotide long non-coding RNA. RefSeq lists it as uncharacterized. The record is from RefSeq and is a predicted model, not a curated record. The transcript is spliced from 2 exons. NCBI's taxonomy places the organism in Eukaryota, Metazoa, Arthropoda, Insecta, Lepidoptera, Crambidae.
AACACAUAGGGGAAGCCCGGGCAAACCGAAUAACCCAGGUAAAGCGGAUAAGCGAUUUUUCUGGAACACAAUAAGAGAUGGCUUUACAAGUUGCGGCUGCGUAGGCGAGUGACCCCUCUGACUACGCCAUGACAGUUGAUUCAAAGCGACUGGUGCCUUUCGUUUAUUUUUGUGACAAAAAAAUUGUUUAGUGUGUUCUUCUUACGAUUUUCGAUCAGAAUAGUGUUUAGGUAUAAACGUAAAACAAAUAAGAAACGUAAAUGGUAUUAACUUCUACACCAGUUAAAAGCAAACAAGCAAUAAAAUGCAAAAAAAUGAUAUUAAAAUGGAUCCACCCAUAGAGGACUGGAUCCAAUGCUCAGAGUGCCACCGUUGGGCACAUUAAAAUUGUACGUUAUUAUGAUGGACUUGACAGUUAUUUCUGCGAUGACUGUCAGGAGUUACUGCCUAAUAUGCUAUACCCGACGUAGCUUAUCCACUUUACCCGACCGGGUCGGGUAAAGCGGAUAAUGGAAGAGGUUUAGAAAAAGUAAUAAUUAAGUAUGAAGAUAUUA